GCUGACUGGGGUUUCUGCCUCCCUUAGUAAUCAUGGAUUGGUGCUGUCAGUGCCUGAUGGAUGAAGGGGACGGAUCAGAAUGGACUGGAGGGGAUUGGAUCUGCCUUGCAAAUCAUGAGGGAAUCCCAGGGAAAGAAAACACUCCUCGGACUGAUAGUGAGGUGAUUGUCUCUACAUACAGAUGAGAUACAUGAGACACUGAGAAAUGGAUACCACUGAGGUCAUGGCCAGGAGGUGGCAGUGCAAAGAUUCCUACCCAAGCUUCCUCAUCUGUGAACAGAACAGGAAGGCCUCGGUAAAUAGGUACAUGUUGACAAGCAACAACCUACUCAAAACUCAUCUUUUUGUAUUAAUGCAUCAUGUGACUCCCUCGUUUGGACUUCUGCAGGAACAUGUCAGGACAGGACAAUCACACAAAACAAUUUACAAGGAAAGAUGAUUUGGACAACGUUGGCUACAAACUGACAUAAUCAACUUUUGGAGAAAACUGCAAUCAACAGUGGCAGAAUGCACAUUCUUUUCAAGCGCACAUGGAAGAUGCACAAUGCGGGAAAAUAAAAUGUGAAUCUCAAAAAUAUCAGUUACUGAAAUUUUACAGAAUACAUUCUUUGAUCACAAAAGAAACUAAAAGAAAAAGCAAUAGCACAUAUGGCAGACAUUCAAAUAUUUGGACAUUAAGCCAGAAAUUUCUAACUAACUUACGAAACAUACAAAAAUCACCCAGGGAUAUAGAAAUGAUAAUAAAAAUGUAACAUAUCAAAAUUUGGGGGAAGCUUAUAAAGCAUUUUGUAGAGAAAAAUCAUUUAAAUGCCUAUAUUAGUAGAGAAAAAGGUUUAAAAUCAAUGAUUCGAAGUUUCUACUCUAAAAAGCUAGGUAAAGAAGAAUAAAUUCAAUGUGAAAUAAGUUGAACUAGGUCAUAAUACGCAUAAGAACAGAAAGCAAUGAAGUAACACAGGCACACCAUUAACUAGGGCUGCUCUUUGAAUGAAUAAAUAAAAUUAAUCCCUAGUAAGCUCAAUCAAUAAUAAAAAGAAAUAAACACAAAUUACAAAUAUCAAGAAUUAAAGAGAUAUAACGAUAGAUAUGAAAAGGACAAUAAAGGAAUAUAGUAAGAAAAUUUGUGCCAAGAAAUUUUAAAAAUUAGAAAAUGUAAUACUUAGUAAAAAUGAACAAAGCCUUAAAAAUGCUAUAAAGCUGAAACAAAAAAUAUAUGAAUAUUCCUAUAUCUCUAAGAGAGAUGGAAUUUUUAAUCAAUAAAUUUUACUCCAAAAAAUUCUAGAAGGAGAUUUUUUUAAUGCUGAUUUCUACCAAAUAAUUUAAGGAAGAAUAAUAUCUUAUAUAAACUCUUACAGAAAUUUGAAAAGGGAAACAUGCUUACCAACACACUUUAUGAAGCUGAUACAAACCUAAUACAAACAUCUCAAUAAAGAUGAGCGUGUGAAAUUCAAGCAAAUACAAAAUGAAUAAAAGCAUCAUGAUCAAGUGUGUCUUAUCUCAGAAAUGCAAAAUUGGUUCAACAUUCAAAAAUAAUAUAAUAUAUCACAUUAAUGCAAUUAAAUAAAAAGUUGGUGUAAUUCUUUUGGCCUUAUAAAUUUCUCUCUUGAAAUUAAUCCUGUUUUAUAAAACUUCAUUUUGUAUUCAUUUUGAUACAGUUUUUAUACUUUUUUAAUACCUGGAGUCAAUAUGUUUUGUAGAUAUUAAUAUAAUGUUUUUGACCCAAUAAAUGUCUUUUUCUUUAAAGAGAUUGUAUCUCCUUUGCUUGUUUGUUCUGUUUUGUAUUGUUUUUCGGAGACAGAAUCUCUCUUUGUUGCCCAGACUGGAGUGCAGUGGCCUGAUUAUGGCUUACUGCAGCCUCAACCUCCUGGGCUCAAGCAAUCAUCCUACCUCAGCCUCCUGUGUAGCUGGGACCACAGGCAUGUGCCAUCAAGCUAGGCUAAUUUAUUAUUAUUAUUAUUUUUUUUGAACACACAGAAUCUCCUCAUAUUGACUAGAUUGGUCUUGAACUGCUGGGUUCAAGCAAUCCUCCUGCCUCAACCUCCCAAAGUGCUGAGAUUACAGGCACGAGGUACCACACACAGCUUCCUUUAUUUUUAAUAGAAUAAAUAUUUGAUAUUAACUCUGAAAAUUUUGUCUUAUAUUUUCUAUUUUAAUACUUCCUUUGUGUUCAUCCUUGUCCCAUUGAGUGUUUUGUGUUAGUGUGUUCCUUUUAAGAACUUACAUGUUUUGUGUUUGGUAUCCUGUUGCUUUUGUAGAUCAGUCAAGUUGCAUUUGCAGAAAACGGAAACCACCCUGGGAAAGGAUAAGUGGUUCUAAUAUAGAGAACUAAGUGCUGAAAAAAAUGGGCUACAGGAAUAUUCUCUAGUCUGUGUCUUCAGGAAUUACUUCUGGAACUGCACCUUAACACUGGCUGACCAAGGACAAACUGGCUACUAUAAAAGGAAAGUGGGUGGUGAGGACCAACCACAGGAAGUGGUAACUGCAAGUGCACUCUGUCAUCACCGUGAUGCAAGGAUCAGGAAGCCCUCUAGUGAUAACUGCCCAUGCACAUAUAAGAAGGGAGGAAGGGACACUGCUCAGAAGACGCCAGCAUCUCCACAAGACCAUUCUUGCCAGCAACAACUUCCAAAAGUAUAGAAAACUGCAUUGUAAUCAGAUUCCAUUUUCCAAAUCUUGAAAGAGGGCAUCUAAUUAGUAGACCAAGAUUCACAGAAUUCAAGGAAACAUAGUUUGCAGCUUCCUUCUGUACCAGAAAGCACAGAGAAAUAGAAUGAGUAGUGCUUACAGGGACAGCUCAUGGGUUGCUUUCUAAUUGGAAAUUUACUAAUCUUUACAGGUGAAUAUUUUUUAAAGAUCCCUCAUUUUAAUUUGCAUGAUUCCUCUGGAGCCAUCACUAUACUUUUGGCCAAAAUUAUUUAUCUGAUUCAGUUGUCCAGAGGGUUCACUACAAGUACAUUUUCACACAAGGAUUCUAGCCUGAAUUUAUUUAACUGACAUUUCAAACUAUGUACUUCAUGAUAUUCCACCAACAUAUUUCAAAGCUAUUGUUAGGUAUAACAUUUUACCUGUUAUUUCAUGGGAAAGGUACACACACCCCAUAUAUCUUUUCUCUUCAUUAUCACCUUAAUUUUAUUUAAGAAAUUUUUAAUCUACAUGGUUUGAAUUAUCUCCUUUGUUAAGACAAGGUAACUCAAUUACAAGAAACAGAAAGUUCCCCAUAUGAUACUGGGCAGAUAUAGGUUAUUAAAACUGGUACUAGCAGGAAAGGGAGUGUGAGUACUUUGCAUAUAAUCACGUACAAUUUGGAGAAAGUGUUCUUAAAGCCCUUGGUUCAGUGGGGACCUGGGAAAAAAUAGUGGACUCUUGACUGUCAGUUCAGUAGCAUAAUGAGUCUAAGCACAUUCUGAGUGCUAGUUCUUAAAAAGAAAUAAAAAGCAAGAAAACUUUGCUUCAGGUGAUCCUAAAAUGUAGCAAAGGAACUCUGCAGCACUUCUGGGAAAAUUGCUGAUUGGCAUGAAAAAGAAUUAAGUGCUUUUCUCAUACCUGCAUGCAAUUUUAACUGUUCUAUGAAGCUUAAAUGCUGUUCAAAAUGCCUCGAAGAGAAUCAGGGAAGUUUUGUGCAAGCAAGAAAAGAUUCUAUGAAGCUGAAGAGAAAGCUGCUAUUUUGCAUUGCCCUAGUGUUUGUUUUAAAAUCUAUAAAUUUGGGGAAAAAUAAGUAGAAAGCAUCAAUAAGUAGAAUAAAUCAAUAGUCUAUAAUUUCGAUUGCAUUUUACAAUGGAAUCAAUACUUCUGCUUUCAGUAAAUAGAAAACUCCUGAUCAUAACCCUUUCUUUGGAGUGUUCUGUAAACUAUGCAAUGCUUAGUUAGCAUGCAUUUGUUUUUCUCUACAAAAGCCUGAUGACAAUUAUGUGUUUUAUGCCCUCUCAAAAAUUAAGCAAAAAUUAAAUAUCUACCCAAAAUAUUUUAUUUUAGAAUUGUUUAAUCUUUACAUCUCAGUAAGUGUUGACUAUAUCUAUGCAUUAAAUUGUCUUAAGAACAAUAAUAUUUCUGCCUAUUUCAAAUACUAUACAAUUGAGCCUGCCACAAGAACUGUUAUUGGCCAGAAAGAAAAUAAGAUUCACGAUAAAUACAUGAAUAAAGGCAGCAUCAUAAUUUCUAUUCCAUUAUAGACAGACUGAGUCAGUGACAAGAGGAGCUAAAGUACAAAAUGUGGUCAGCUGGCCCAGCUAGCUUAAAACCUAGUUGUUUUUCUUUGCUUGAAUGGUCAAGAUCUCUUAUGACAAAUUUUGAAUUACAAGAGAAUGUUCAGUGUUACCAGUCUUAUUUGUUAUUUAUUAAGUUCUUUGAAUAGAUUUUUUUAAAAGUUGACUGGUGUGAGUCUCAAAGAAACCUGAGGGAUAGUUUAGGGUACAUGUAGGAAGGUAUUGAAAAGAUUUUUACUGAAUGAAGGAUAGAUUGGGAUGUUGGAAUGAGGAAGCAGAAGUACAAAUUCCAGGGAGGAUUACAUUCUAGUAAAAUGUCAGUUUCCAAAGGUCAGUGCCAUCCAGUCUUUCCAUGAGCCAUUUUCUGUGCAAUAAGCAUGACUCCUGGGCAUGAUAGGAUAGAGUUUUAUAAGAUUUCCUUUCUCUCAUGCAUCAUAUUUAAAGUUUCUUUUCUAAAAGGGAAGAAAGGUGCGUAUCUGUGCCACAAGGAGUGGCUGACUCCAGCACAGUAACCUCAAGGGUAGCACCUUCAAUGUUGAUGAGGUUGGACUUAGCUGCUGGUUCUGGAAAGACAAAAGUGGACUAGAGGCUGUUGAUAAGUUGGCUACUCCUCCCUUGUUUUUAGUUUCAUUUCAGGUCAAGAAGUAGCCAUUGGUCACCACGUCUGUAACAUGCACUGUGCUGUGUGUUGGGCGUACAAAGAAGGAGAAUCUGCAGUCCUCUUCCUAAAGGAGUGCAUAGUGAUUUCAGUCCCAGGCGGUAAAGGCAGAGAAGUUUGCUCAGGGCUAUAGGGAAGGUCAGAGACAAUCCUCUGGCUCACCUGAGAGGUUCAGAAUAAGCUUUGAAGAGGAGAUGGUGCUGAGCUGAAUUUUCCACAAUGAGUUAACCACAUGAAAAAGCUGACAAAGGUCCAGGUGUAGUGGCUCAUGCCUGUAACCCCAGCACUUUGGGAAACCGAGGUGGGUGGAUCACAUGAGGGCAGGAGUUCAAAAUCAACCUGGCCAACAUGGUGAAACCCCAUCUCUACUAAAAAUACAAAAAAAUUAGCCAGGUAUGGUGGUGUGUGCCUGUAGUCCCAGCUGCUUGGGAGGCUGAGGCAUGAGAAUCGCUUGAACCUGAGAGGCAGUGGCUGCAGUGUGCUGAGAUCACACCACUGCACUCCAGCUUGGGUGACAGAGUAAGGCUCUGUCAAAAAAAAAAAAAAUGCUGACAAAGGCAAUCAGUAAAAUUAGUAAGAAAUAGCAUCAAUAGAAAACAGGUUUUACAAGCAACUUGGUAUAACUAAAUUUAAAAAUGUAAGGUGAGAAAUGUAGGUGACAAAGGCCAAGUCUUUGGUAGCAAGCUAUUUACAGUAUUUUAUCUACAAAUUGUUCCAACAUGUCACGUUUGCUACUUUAUUGAAAUGUUUGAUUGCAUAACAUGGAGAAUGUGCAGUGUGAGAUGAUGCCAUAUUUUCACUCUCUAAGACCUCGGAAGACUAAGCAGCUUUAAUCACCUAGAGUUUCAGUCAUUUCAGUGAAUAUUCAUAGAAAUAGAGGUGACCAACCAGCAGCGAGCUCAAGUGGCUGCAUCUACAGAGUGGGUUAGGAAUGUGGUGAGGUGUUUGGCAGUGGAGCGGUAGGCAGUGUGGGCAAUGCUGUCUGAAAGGUUAUCUCUCUAGUCUCCAUGGGGAUACAUGAAAAACUAAAAUAUAGAUAAUAACAUUCAUUCAUUCAUUUAUUUAUUCCUUUUUUAGAGACGGGGUCUUGCUAUGUUGCCCAGAAUGGAAUGCAGUGUCUCUUCACCGGCACCAUCCUGGCAUGCUAUAGCCUCAAACUCCUGGGCUCAAGCAUCAUCCUGCCUCAGCCUCCCAAUUAGCUGGGACUACAGGUGUGCAUCACUGUGCAGAGCUAAUAAUGUCCUUUCUGUAUGAAUUAUCGAGACUCAAGAAAGCACUUUGAUAGGGGAAGUGAAUACACUGGGGACAAUUAGUGGGUGGAUGUGUCUGAAGUGAGAGUAAGGCUCUCUUCAGCUGCAGCAUGAAAAUAAGGUGACCAGUUGAGGUCCUGGUUUUCCAGCUGAGCUCUCAAUCUCGUCUCACAAGACUGAUAAAAACGAUAUCUUUAGUUUUCCAGGACUGGCUAGAAACAAUGCAGGGAUAUUAUCAACAUCUCGUUAUUUUGUUCUCAUAAUUAUUUGAUUAAUGAUAAUGACUCAGCUGCUUUGUAAUACUAUGUAUGUCUUUUAUUAGCCUUAUAACUUCCCUUAACAGUAUAGGGACCUUGAUUUCUUAGUUUUGCCAAGAGAGCAAUAAACUCACAGUCAAGUUACUUUUUUAGAAUGUGUAUAGUUCCCAGGUGAAGGGAAUUUCAGUUCACUUAGAUAUCCUUUAAUUUUCACAUUCAUUCCAGCCUCAUUUCUACUCUGCAUAUGUCUCCAGUAUAUUUUUGCUCAUGACACAGAAAUAUCAGUUCCAUUCUUUGCUGGAAUUAACAAACAGCAAAAUAUCUCACCUGCUGGACAGAAUGCAUUGAUCUGCUAUUUUCUAUCUGUCCUAGAACCUCUUGUAGCACCAUUGUUUAACACAUUCUUGGAUUCAUAUUUAGAGCAUCAGGCUAAUUCAUGUUUGCUGAUUUGCAUAUGAAGGCUAGAUGUUAAAGUAGAAUUUAAAAUAUUUGGUUAUAUCUACUGUUUUUACCCUCUCUAAUUUAGUAGAACGUUUCUGGAUGUCAUAUUGUGUGGUUUAGUUAACUAUUAUGCACCAAUUAUACUAAUGUUUAAAUAAUAGUUUAACAUAUUUUUAACAAUGUUUAACUUAUUAUUUGUAGUAUAUAACCAGGAGAAAGUCUUCAGUUAUACAGUAAUUUAUCUUUCUUUCAUAAAGCUAAAAAGAUGUUAAUUUGCAUGAUUUUAGCUGAGUUUUCAGUGUGGACUUUGCUUCUGAAUUGUGUCCAAGGCUCUGAGUCGGUUUUAAGACCUUACAUCUGCAUGGUGCUUUGCCGUUUAAGAAGGAAUUCCACAUUAAUCUUCAGCUCUGAUUAUUCAAGUUCAUCCCGGUUCCUGUUACAGUCACUGCUUGAAUAAAUGAAUGAACCAAAACCAGAAUUGACUUUGGUUUUCCUAACAUUGUGAGUUUGUUGGAACAGAUAUCAUUAUUAUGGAAUAAUGUGAUUUUGUAAUAUUAUAUAAUAUAAUUAUUGUAUUUUUCAGAUAAAACAGCUGCUAAAAUUUAUUUGUACAGCUGACCUUGGAAUAACACAGGUCUUAACUGCAUGGAUCUAUGUAUGCAUGGAUUUUUUUUUCAAUAAAAUUACACUAACUGUGCCUGCCUCUCCCGCUUCCCCUUCCACCUCCUUCAUCCUUUCUUCCUCUGUCACCUCUGAGAUAACAAGGCCAACCCCUCCCCUUUCUCUUUCUCUUCAUUUGAAGACAAGGAAGUUGAAGACUUUUAUGAGGAUCUGCUUUCACUUAAUGAAUAGUAAAUAUAUUUUCUCUUCCUUUUGAUUUUCUUAAUGACGUUUUCUUUUUUCUAGCUUACUUGAUGGUAAGAUAAAGUCUAUAAUACAUAUAACAUACAAGAUCUAUGUUAAUCGACUGUUUUUGUUAUUCCCAAAGCUUCUGGUCAACAGUAAGCUAUUAGUAGUUAAGUUUUGGGGGAGUCAAAAAGUUACACAUGGAUUUUCUACUGUGCGGGGUUCGGCACCCCUAAUUCUUGCAUUGUUCAAGAAUCAGUUGUAUUACACUUUCUAGUUACAAUGCAUUUAACAUCUUGUGCUAUUUAAAACAACCCUGUCAGGCAGGAGGAGAAAAAUGAUUAUCUCUGUCUAGCAGAUAAGAAAAGUGAAAUUCAAAGGUCAAUGACCAUCUCCAAAUCACAGUGCAACAGCAUUGCUAAGACCUGAAUUCAGUCUGUUUCAUCAUAGUUCGCUGCUCUUUUAAAAAUUCCACCGUGCCUCUUAGGGCAUAUUAAUCACCAUGUGUGGGAGUGGGUGGGGGCUGUCAGAGGGGCAGCAUCUGGAGUUUUACCUGGUCAGGACAGAAGUCCUCCUCCCUGCUGGAAUGAUGAGCCUCUGUGCUUUGUUCCUUCUCUGCAGUGUGGCCAAAGUGAUGGGCUUUUACAAAAGGGCACCAUGGGGCAUUUUCGGGGUAGCUUGGGAUGGUGAUUGGGAGUAGCUCACAUGACACAUGUUAGGAUGUUGCCAAACUCAUUUUGGCAAGGCUAUUUGAUAGUAAAAGGAUAUAACGCUAGCAGCCUCUGUUGUCCAACACCAGGGAGAUAAUUCUUCUGUUCUUAUCCAGCAUGGUGCCAAGCUCUACGGGAACAAAAUGGAAGAAGGAGGAGGCAGAAAACGAAGCCCUCAGGUCCCUUAGGUUCAGGAAUGCACAUAAUUAAUGCCUUCCUUGACCCUUAGGAAAGCCAGAGCGCUAAGCAUUGGGAAUAUUUUACAUUAAC
This 8631-nucleotide long non-coding RNA is filed under the name Homo sapiens (human). Its description in RNAcentral is "HSALNT0037336". Lineage: Eukaryota; Metazoa; Chordata; Mammalia; Primates; Hominidae. The record is from RNAcentral.